This 253-nucleotide ribosomal RNA is filed under the name uncultured bacterium. RNAcentral's name for it is "partial 16S ribosomal RNA". It matches the Rfam family "Bacterial small subunit ribosomal RNA", at positions 524 to 776 of the family's 1533-position model. The record is from RNAcentral.
UACGAAGGGGGCUAGCGUUGUUCGGAAUCACUGGGCGUAAAGCGCACGUAGGCGGCUGUGCCAGUCAGGGGUGAAAUCCCGGAGCUCAACUUCGGAACUGCCUCUGAUACAGCACGUCUUGAGUCCGGAAGAGGUGGGUGGAAUUCCUAGUGUAGAGGUGAAAUUCGUAGAUAUUAGGAAGAACACCGGUGGCGAAGGCGGCCCACUGGUCCGGUACUGACGCUGAGGUGCGAAAGCUAGGGGAGCAAACGGG